CCAGUAGCGGCGAGCGAACGGGGAGGAGCCCAGAGCCUGAAUCAGUGUGUGUGUUAGUGGAAGCGUCUGGAAAGGCGCGCGAUACAGGGUGACAGCCCCGUACACAAAAAUGCACAUGCUGUGAGCUCGAUGAGUAGGGCGGGACACGUGGUAUCCUGUCUGAAUAUGGGGGGACCAUCCUCCAAGGCUAAAUACUCCUGACUGACCGAUAGUGAACCAGUACCGUGAGGGAAAGGCGAAAAGAACCCCGGCGAGGGGAGUGAAAAAGAACCUGAAACCGUGUACGUACAAGCAGUGGGAGCACAGAGCAAUCUGUGUGACUGCGUACCUUUUGUAUAAUGGGUCAGCGACUUAUAUUCUGUAGCAAGGUUAACCGAAUAGGGGAGCCGAAGGGAAACCGAGUCUUAACUGGGCGUUAAGUUGCAGGGUAUAGACCCGAAACCCGGUGAUCUAGCCAUGGGCAGGUUGAAGGUUGGGUAACACUAACUGGAGGACCGAACCGACUAAUGUUGAAAAAUUAGCGGAUGACUUGUGGCUGGGGGUGAAAGGCCAAUCAAACCGGGAGAUAGCUGGUUCUCCCCGAAAGCUAUUUAGGUAGCGCCUCGUGAAUUCAUCUCCGGGGGUAGAGCACUGUUUCGGCAAGGGGGUCAUCCCGACUUACCAACCCGAUGCAAACUGCGAAUACCGGAGAAUGUUAUCACGGGAGACACACGGCGGGUGCUAACGUCCGUCGUGAAGAGGGAAACAACCCAGACCGCCAGCUAAGGUCCCAAAGUCAUGGUUAAGUGGGAAACGAUGUGGGAAGGCCCAGACAGCCAGGAUGUUGGCUUAGAAGCAGCCAUCAUUUAAAGAAAGCGUAAUAGCUCACUGGUCGAGUCGGCCUGCGCGGAAGAUGUAACGGGGCUAAACCAUGCACCGAAGCUGCGGCAGCGACACUGUGUGUUGUUGGGUAGGGGAGCGUUCUGUAAGCCUGUGAAGGUGUGCUGUGAGGCAUGCUGGAGGUAUCAGAAGUGCGAAUGCUGACAUAAGUAACGAUAAAGCGGGUGAAAAGCCCGCUCGCCGGAAGACCAAGGGUUCCUGUCCAACGUUAAUCGGGGCAGGGUGAGUCGACCCCUAAGGCGAGGCCGAAAGGCGUAGUCGAUGGGAAACAGGUUAAUAUUCCUGUACUUGGUGUUACUGCGAAGGGGGGACGGAGAAGGCUAUGUUGGCCGGGCGACGGUUGUCCCGGUUUAAGCGUGUAGGCUGGUUUUCCAGGCAAAUCCGGAAAAUCAAGGCUGAGGCGUGAUGACGAGGCACUACGGUGCUGAAGCAACAAAUGCCCUGCUUCCAGGAAAAGCCUCUAAGCAUCAGGUAACAUCAAAUCGUACCCCAAACCGACACAGGUGGUCAGGUAGAGAAUACCAAGGCGCUUGAGAGAACUCGGGUGAAGGAACUAGGCAAAAUGGUGCCGUAACUUCGGGAGAAGGCACGCUGAUAUGUAGGUGAAGUCCCUCGCGGAUGGAGCUGAAAUCAGUCGAAGAUACCAGCUGGCUGCAACUGUUUAUUAAAAACACAGCACUGUGCAAACACGAAAGUGGACGUAUACGGUGUGACGCCUGCCCGGUGCCGGAAGGUUAAUUGAUGGGGUCAGCGCAAGCGAAGCUCUUGAUCGAAGCCCCGGUAAACGGCGGCCGUAACUAUAACGGUCCUAAGGUAGCGAAAUUCCUUGUCGGGUAAGUUCCGACCUGCACGAAUGGCGUAAUGAUGGCCAGGCUGUCUCCACCCGAGACUCAGUGAAAUUGAACUCGCUGUGAAGAUGCAGUGUACCCGCGGCAAGACGGAAAGACCCCGUGAACCUUUACUAUAGCUUGACACUGAACAUUGAGCCUUGAUGUGUAGGAUAGGUGGGAGGCUUUGAAGUGUGGACGCCAGUCUGCAUGGAGCCGACCUUGAAAUACCACCCUUUAAUGUUUGAUGUUCUAACGUGGACCCGUGAUCCGGGUUGCGGACAGUGUCUGGUGGGUAGUUUGACUGGGGCGGUCUCCUCCUAAAGAGUAACGGAGGAGCACGAAGGUUGGCUAAUCCUGGUCGGACAUCAGGAGGUUAGUGCAAUGGCAUAAGCCAGCUUGACUGCGAGCGUGACGGCGCGAGCAGGUGCGAAAGCAGGUCAUAGUGAUCCGGUGGUUCUGAAUGGAAGGGCCAUCGCUCAACGGAUAAAAGGUACUCCGGGGAUAACAGGCUGAUACCGCCCAAGAGUUCAUAUCGACGGCGGUGUUUGGCACCUCGAUGUCGGCUCAUCACAUCCUGGGGCUGAAGUAGGUCCCAAGGGUAUGGCUGUUCGCCAUUUAAAGUGGUACGCGAGCUGGGUUUAGAACGUCGUGAGACAGUUCGGUCCCUAUCUGCCGUGGGCGCUGGAGAACUGAGGGGGGCUGCUCCUAGUACGAGAGGACCGGAGUGGACGCAUCACUGGUGUUCGGGUUGUCAUGCCAAUGGCACUGCCCGGUAGCUAAAUGCGGAAGAGAUAAGUGCUGAAAGCAUCUAAGCACGAAACUUGCCCCGAGAUGAGUUCUCCCUGACCCUUUAAGGGUCCUGAAGGAACGUUGAAGACGACGACGUUGAUAGGCCGGGUGUGUAAGCGCAGCGAUGCGUUGAGCUAACCGGUACUAAUGAACCGUGAGGCUUAACCUUACAACGCCGAAGGUGUUU
Molecule: ribosomal RNA, 2685 nt
Filed under: Escherichia coli
Lineage: Bacteria; Pseudomonadati; Pseudomonadota; Gammaproteobacteria; Enterobacterales; Enterobacteriaceae
Description: partial 23S ribosomal RNA
Rfam family: Bacterial large subunit ribosomal RNA
Source: RNAcentral